RNAcentral lists this long non-coding RNA (205 nucleotides) under Homo sapiens (human). RNAcentral's name for it is "HSALNT0112894". Lineage: Eukaryota; Metazoa; Chordata; Mammalia; Primates; Hominidae. The record is from RNAcentral.
UUUUAAGGAUGUAAAGAACAUUAAACAAUGAAGAGAUAGUUUCUCAGAGUGUCUUCUGGUUUUCUAUGUUGGCUACAGUCAAGAUAACCUAUUACUAAGGUGGGCCUACUCCAAUAUCUAGAGAUGGCAGAUAUUCAGUAAGUUUAUUCACUUAACAAACAUUUUCUCUCUGUGUGUCAGAAAGAAUGUCUUUUACCGUCCUUGA